This is a long non-coding RNA of Scatophagus argus, 530 nucleotides long. RefSeq lists it as uncharacterized. Lineage: Eukaryota; Metazoa; Chordata; Actinopteri; Scatophagidae. The record is from RefSeq and is a predicted model, not a curated record. The transcript is spliced from 2 exons.
GUACAUUACGUCACUGACGUCUUUGCGAGGCUCUCAUACGCUGAUGUUAACGUCUUCUUGUUACAAAAAGCACGAUUUUGAUAAACUUCUUGUGCUGUGGGCUUGUGGUUCCAAACCCUGUCCUCCACCUCUCCGCCAGGUUAUUGAUUUAUUUAUCUGUUUGUUUAUUUGUUCGUCGCACAGCUGAUUCAGCCAUAGUCUACUCAACCAAUCACUGAUGAACAUUUAACUGGAGGUGGCGCCACUGCUCUGCGGAAACUGUAGCUGCCUCUAGAUGGCGAAAUCACUGAGAGGAUGGAGGAAGAGUUGGUUGAGGCUCAGCCCCUGUAUGACCAGCGGCAAGACGACAGCGUCCGGAGGAACACCAGCAUUCACAGGAUCCUGUUAUUUUAAGAUGUUACCGGAGGGAGGAUUUAUUCAGGAUGCGUUUGAUGUGUAGCUCGGUUUGUUCUCUGAAUGUUUCAUUGUGAUGUUAUUCGGGUUUUCACAUUUUAGAAUUGGUUAUGUGAAAAUAAAUGAAGGUAAACCGG